This 435-nucleotide ribosomal RNA is filed under the name uncultured bacterium. Its description in RNAcentral is "partial 16S ribosomal RNA". It matches the Rfam family "Bacterial small subunit ribosomal RNA", at positions 29 to 507 of the family's 1533-position model. The record is from RNAcentral.
AGCGAACGCUGGCGGCAGGCUUAACACAUGCAAGUCGAGCGGGCAUCUUCGGAUGUCAGCGGCAGACGGGUGAGUAACACGUGGGAACGUACCCUUCGGUUCGGAACAACUCUGGGAAACUGGAGCUAAUACCGGAUACGCCCUUAUGGGGAAAGGUUUACUGCCGAAGGGUCGGCCCGCGUCUGAUUAGCUAGUUGGUGGGGUAACGGCCUACCAAGGCGACGAUCAGUAGCUGGUCUGAGAGGAUGAUCAGCCACACUGGGACUGAGACACGGCCCAGACUCCUACGGGAGGCGGCAGUGGGGAAUAUUGGACAAUGGGCGCAAGCCUGAUCCAGCCAUGCCGCGUGAGUGAUGAAGGCCUUAGGGUUGUAAAGCUCUUUUGUCCGGGACGAUAAUGACGGUACCGGAAGAAUAAGCCCCGGCUAACUUCGUG